This 105-nucleotide ribosomal RNA is filed under the name Castor canadensis (American beaver). Lineage: Eukaryota; Metazoa; Chordata; Mammalia; Rodentia; Castoridae. The record is from RNAcentral.
GUCUACAAUCAUAACAUCCUGAAUGUGCCCAAUCUCAUCUAAUCUUAGAAGCCAAGCCUGGUUAGUACUUGGAUGGGAGGAAUACAAAUUAGUUUGUGGCAGGCC